AACGCACCUUGCACUCUCUGGUAUUCCGGAGAGUAUGUCUGUUUGAGUGUCAUGAACUCUUCAACCUACCGAUUCCUAGUGAAUCGGAUUAGUGUUUGGAUUUUGAACGCUUGCUGGCCUUUCGGGGCGAAGCUCGUUCGUAAAUGAUUAGCAUCUCAUAUUCGAAAAUCGGAUUGACUCAGUGUAAUAGACUAUUCGCUGAGGACGCUUCUUUUGAAGUGGCCGAGUUUUGUAAAGUAGAAGCUUCUAAUUCUAUUAGUCAACUUUAGAUUAGACCUCAGAUCAGGCAGGAUUACCCGCUGAACUUAA
Molecule: unclassified non-coding RNA, 309 nt
Filed under: uncultured fungus
Lineage: Eukaryota; Fungi
Description: partial contains 5.8S ribosomal RNA, internal transcribed spacer 2, and large subunit ribosomal RNA
Rfam family: 5.8S ribosomal RNA (bases 1-52)
Source: RNAcentral